CAGUCGCCGCGGGAAUACGAAGGGUGCAAGCGUUACUCGGAAUUACUGGGCGUAAAGCGUGCGUAGGUGGUGGUUUAAGUCCGUUGUGAAAGCCCUGGGCUCAACCUGGGAAUUGCAGUGGAUACUGGGUCACUAGAGUGUGGUAGAGGAUAGUGGAAUUUCCGGUGUAGCAGUGAAAUGCGUAGAGAUCGGAAGGAACAUCUGUGGCGAAGGCGACUAUCUGGGCCAACACUGACACUGAGGCACGAAAGCGCGGGGAGCAAACAGGAUUAGAUACCCCGGUAGUCCCUGUCUCUUAUAC
Molecule: ribosomal RNA, 301 nt
Filed under: uncultured bacterium
Lineage: Bacteria
Description: partial 16S ribosomal RNA
Rfam family: Bacterial small subunit ribosomal RNA
Source: RNAcentral